RNAcentral lists this ribosomal RNA (301 nucleotides) under uncultured bacterium. Its description in RNAcentral is "partial 16S ribosomal RNA". It matches the Rfam family "Bacterial small subunit ribosomal RNA", at positions 509 to 807 of the family's 1533-position model. The record is from RNAcentral.
CAGCCGCCGCGGUAAUACGAGGGGGGCAAGCGUUGUUCGGAAUUAUUGGGCGUAAAGGGCGCGUAGGCGGUUUGGCAAGUUUGGUGUGAAAUCUUCGGGCUCAACUCGAAAUCUGCACCGAAAACUGCCGGGCUUGAGUAUGGGAGAGGUGAGUGGAAUUUCCGGUGUAGCGGUGAAAUGCGUAGAUAUCGGAAGGAACACCUGUGGCGAAAGCGGCUCACUGGACCAUUACUGACGCUGAGGCGCGAAAGCUAGGGGAGCAAACAGGAUUAGAGACCCCUGUAGUCCCUGUCUCUUAUAC